AUACGGAGGGGGCUAGCGUUGUUUGGAAUUACUGGGCGUAAAGGGCGCGUAGGCGGUUUACCAAGUCAGGCGUGGAAGGCCUGGGCUCAACCCGGGAACUGCGCUUGAUACUGGUUGAACUUGAGUCCGGGAGAGGAUGGCGGAAUUCCCAGUGUAGAGGUGAAAUUCGUAGAUAUUGGGAAGAACACCGGUGGCGAAGGCGGCCAUCUGGACCGGAACUGACGCCGAGGCGCGAAAGCGUGGGGAGCAAACA
RNAcentral lists this ribosomal RNA (253 nucleotides) under uncultured prokaryote. RNAcentral's name for it is "partial 16S ribosomal RNA". It matches the Rfam family "Bacterial small subunit ribosomal RNA", at positions 523 to 774 of the family's 1533-position model. The record is from RNAcentral.